Molecule: ribosomal RNA, 508 nt
Filed under: uncultured bacterium
Lineage: Bacteria
Description: partial 16S ribosomal RNA
Rfam family: Bacterial small subunit ribosomal RNA
Source: RNAcentral
GAUGAACGCUAGCUACAGGCUUAACACAUGCAAGUCGAGGGGAAACGAUAUUGGAAGCUUGCUUCCGAUAGGCGUCGACCGGCGCACGGGUGAGUAACGCGUAUCCAACCUGCCCACCACUUGGGGAUAACCUUGCGAAAGUAAGACUAAUACCCAAUGAUAUCUCUAGAAGACAUCUGAAGGAGAUUAAAGAUUUAUCGGUGAUGGAUGGGGAUGCGUCUGAUUAGCUUGUUGGCGGGGUAACGGCCCACCAAGGCGACGAUCAGUAGGGGUUCUGAGAGGAAGGUCCCCCACAUUGGAGCUGAGACACGGUCCAAACUCCUACGGGAGGCAGCAGUGAGGAAUAUUGGUCAAUGGGCGAGAGCCUGAACCAGCCAAGUAGCGUGCAGGAUGACGGCCCUAUGGGUUGUAAACUGCUUUUAUAAGGGAAUAAAGUGAGUCUCGUGAGACUUUUUGCAUGUACCUUAUGAAUAAGGACCGGCUAAUUCCGUGCCAGCCGCCGCUGUAA